This 341-nucleotide long non-coding RNA is filed under the name Pelobates cultripes (western spadefoot toad). The record is from RNAcentral. Lineage: Eukaryota; Metazoa; Chordata; Amphibia; Anura; Pelobatidae.
CGUAGACCAAGCAACACCAACCUUCACUCAUCUGACAAUCGAUGAUCAAGAUCUCACCUCACCUUGUAUUCCGCUACAAACUCUCCCUUAUACUGAUGAAGUGCAGAAAGUCUAGGAAGGGACAGUACAGGGACAGCGUCCGUCUUUAUGGGUAGACUGCCGUACGGAGAAGUAGUGGAUAAGCCACUAUGGGUUACCAGCGGAGGGAAGAGUGUUCCUGAACCGUACUGACGGAUGUGCUGCAGCCUGUUAGGGUCAAGAGAGGGAUAGACUUGCACUUUGCAUUAACACUAAGUCAGCGGUCAUGGGGUUUCUGUGUCUUUGGGCUAACACAUCUUCUG